CUCACACCUGUAAUCCCAGCACUUUGGGAAGCUGAAGAGGGUGGAUCACCUGAGGUCAGAAGUUUGAAACCAGUCUGGCCAACAUGGUGAAACCCUGUCUCUACUAAAAAUACAAAAAUUAGCUGGGCAAGGUGGCUCGGGAAGCUGAGGCAGGAGAAUCCCUUGAACCUGGGAAGUGGCGAUUGCAGUGAGCUGAGAUCGCACCACUGCACUGCAACCUGGGCGACAGAGCAAGACUCCAUCUCAAAAACAAACAAACAAACAAAAACAGAUGUGAAAUCUUUCAUUUGUAUGUGCCAGAUAUUUUGUAUUACUCUUUCCAGAUCCGGUCUCUACUUCUUACUACCCUGCUCCCUGCCCUUGGAGGCUGAUUUUUAUGAAUUACAUCAAUGGGCUCCCUUGCCUUCUGGCUUUUGAUUGGGUUUGGACAAUGGAAGUCAGGGGAAGAGGAAAUAAGGUGAUUUCCCUGGAUCCUCCCUGCAAGGUCACCUCAGGAUAGUGUCCUUGAUUGAAGGGUCCUUACUAGAGGGAGGCAGAAGGAUUUUAAGAGGAAAUGACAUGACAAAAGCAGCAAGAGCUUUGAAGAUGCAGUGCUGCUGGCUUUGAAGAUGGAAGAAGGGGCUGUGAGUCAAAGGAAUGCAAAGAAUGUAGCUCCAGAGGCUGGAAAAGAAGGGGGCAAGGCCUUGCUGUAUACCUUUGUUUUGGCGCUAUGAAAUUAUUUUGGUCUUGGCCGGGCAUGGUGGCUCACGC
This 750-nucleotide long non-coding RNA is filed under the name Homo sapiens (human). RNAcentral describes it as "HSALNT0163481". The record is from RNAcentral. Lineage: Eukaryota; Metazoa; Chordata; Mammalia; Primates; Hominidae.